This is a long non-coding RNA of Cheilinus undulatus (humphead wrasse), 1015 nucleotides long. RefSeq lists it as uncharacterized. The record is from RefSeq and is a predicted model, not a curated record. Lineage: Eukaryota; Metazoa; Chordata; Actinopteri; Labriformes; Labridae. The transcript is spliced from 5 exons.
UGAUCUUUAGUUUAGUUGGGAGCUUGUUCCACUCUUUUAUGGCUAUGUAUGAGAAAGCUGUGGUACGUAAUGGAAUAUUGCACUGCCACUGAGAGGCUGUUCUUGUUGCUCUGUUCAUCCGUUCAGAGGUCAGGUGAAUGAAGGCCUUAAGAGGUGGAGGUGCAGUUCCAUGAAUGAUUUUAAAAACCAAACGUACAUUUGAGAAUGUGAUCAUAUUUUCGAAACUUAGCAUCUUAUGUUUAUUAAGGAUACGACAAUGAUGAUAUUGCUGCGUCUUUUUAUCCAAAAUUUUUUAGUAUGGUUUCCCACUUUGUAUGACUUCCCGUGAUUAGGAGGAAGAGUCUUGUUCUCAGAGACUGUUUAUUUUUACUUUUCCAAAGUGCUGGUGAAAUUUGGGCUGCAAGUCUGGCUCAAGGUGGGCCACCACCCUGCUGCCUCAAACUUUGGGUCUACAAAUACUUGUGUGAUGGAGAGCUGCAGAUACAGCAUAUACAGGAAAAGGAUGUCUGUGAUGGUCAAUAUUCACUGAUUAUCUCACAGAAGGUUGAGUCAGCCACAGAAGCUGACAUCACUGAACUCACUGAGGAAAUUCUGAGCUGUGGAUAUCAUGGACCUAUUUGUGUUGAAAAGAAAGAAGACAUUGUUCGCCUUAUCUCUCUCAGCUGCGUGAAGGUCUGACACUGUAUGGUCUGGCUGAUUUAAUGAGCCAGUACCCAAAGAUCUGCCAACCACUCUUUGUUCCCGGGAAAGAAGUAUAGGCUGAUGCUGACUUUGUUUUUGCGUCAUUCCAUCCCGAGUUCAGUGAGAAGGGCCCCCAUAAAGAACAGGUGGAAGUUAGCAUCAUGAACCAUCUACAGGACUUCUUGCAAGAGCUUGAAACAAGUGAACAGACAGAGGUGGGUGACAAUCCAGGUUCCCUCUCCCCAAGGACAUUCCUGCCUUGGCUCACAGGACAAGGCCAUAUUCCUCUGCUGCCUGAGGAGAAGACAACCUUCAAACUGUUUGUGAAGUUGGA